UACAGAGGUCCCGAGCGUUGUUCGGAUUCACUGGGCGUAAAGGGUGCGUAGGUGGCGUGGUAAGUUUGAUGUGAAAGCUCAGGGCUUAACCCUGAAAUGGCAUUGAAUACUACUAUGCUGGAGGUUUGGAGGGGGGACUGGAAUUCUUGGUGUAGCAGUGAAAUGCGUAGAUAUCAAGAGGAACACCAGUGGCGAAGGCGAGUCCCUGGACAACACCUGACACUGAGGCACGAAAGCGUGGGGAGCGAACAGG
RNAcentral lists this ribosomal RNA (253 nucleotides) under uncultured bacterium. Its description in RNAcentral is "partial 16S ribosomal RNA". It matches the Rfam family "Bacterial small subunit ribosomal RNA", at positions 524 to 776 of the family's 1533-position model. The record is from RNAcentral.